RNAcentral lists this non-coding RNA (70 nucleotides) under uncultured Blautia sp. RNAcentral's name for it is "Cyclic di-GMP-I riboswitch". It matches the Rfam family "c-di-GMP-I riboswitch aptamer", at positions 10 to 83 of the family's 87-position model. Rfam says of the family: GEMM was predicted in a large-scale screen for bacterial structured RNA regulatory elements. Genes associated with GEMM are involved in a diverse array of functions, including chemotaxis regulation, signal transduction, secretion and chitin. The record is from RNAcentral. Lineage: Bacteria; Bacillati; Bacillota; Clostridia; Lachnospirales; Lachnospiraceae.
AGGCAAACCUAUAGAAAUGUAGGGACGCAAAGUUUAGUAUCUAAGGGGAUUCCUAUGAUUGACUGGCUGC